GAACUGCUUUUCGCCUUGUGACAUGUCCGGCCUGAGAACCUUAAUGGCAACGGGUGUGUGAUCAAGACUUGCUUUAAAGACAGGCCCAUAUCCGCCCUCACCGAUCUUUUCUGAACCAGCGAAAUAUUUUGUGGCUUCUUGGAUUUCCUCCAUCGUGUACUUUCUGUAUUGAACCUCGGUAUUUGCUAGUGCGUGAAUCGCCUUCUCCUUUUCUUCGGCCUCCACUCUGAACUUCUUCUCUGCAGACUUUCUCUUUUCCGACUCCAGCUCUGCUAUGCGUUGUGCUGUCUGUGCAAGCUCAACUGCGGCCUUGCACUUCAACUUCUCCCUCUCAACCAUGGCCAAUGCAGACUCUUGGGAAUGGUUACCGUCUCCUUGGCCGCCGGCAUCCUAUGACAACAGGUAAGUAUCCAUGAAUACCUAGUGUUUAUUUACAAAUUAGAAUCUCUCCAUUGAGCAUGAUUGCAACUUACAAACCUUAUCAGUAGCCGUCUCAGAUUCUUGACAAACUAGAUUAUACAUCAUUGUGAUUCGCUUCAUCUCGUGUUUUAAUCUUCUGAGCUCGUCCUCUACAUCCUGAAAUGAUAAGAGAUUCUUUGUUGAGCGCGCUACCAUCUCUUUUUUCAUACAAUGACCGAAAAAACUUUUGAACUUACAGCUGUUUGUGAGCAGAUAGAGCUUCUCGAAGAUAAAGACAUCCGGAACUGGUCCAGAUGUUCGUACGACACAUCCGAAGGGAAACUCUGCAUAUCCGAAUGAUCACUCGAAGAAGCCAUGGAGUACUGUGGACUGUCCCUGGUUCGAACUUGAAGAUUCUGG
RNAcentral lists this long non-coding RNA (819 nucleotides) under Salvia miltiorrhiza (redroot sage). Its description in RNAcentral is "long non-coding RNA (SMIL_LNC006224)". The record is from RNAcentral. Lineage: Eukaryota; Viridiplantae; Streptophyta; Magnoliopsida; Lamiales; Lamiaceae.